UUAAGCGACUAAGCGUACACGGUGGAUGCCCUGGCAGUCAGAGGCGAUGAAGGACGUGCUAAUCUGCGAUAAGCGUCGGUAAGGUGAUAUGAACCGUUAUAACCGGCGAUUUCCGAAUGGGGAAACCCAGUGUGUUUCGACACACUAUCAUUAACUGAAUCCAUAGGUUAAUGAGGCGAACCGGGGGAACUGAAACAUCUAAGUACCCCGAGGAAAAGAAAUCAACCGAGAUUCCCCCAGUAGCGGCGAGCGAACGGGGAGCAGCCCAGAGCCUGAAUCAGUGUGUGUGUUAGUGGAAGCGUCUGGAAAGGCGCGCGAUACAGGGUGACAGCCCCGUACACAAAAAUGCACAUAUUGUGAGCUCGAUGAGUAGGGCGGGACACGUGGUAUCCUGUCUGAAUAUGGGGGGACCAUCCUCCAAGGCUAAAUACUCCUGACUGACCGAUAGUGAACCAGUACCGUGAGGGAAAGGCGAAAAGAACCCCGGCGAGGGGAGUGAAAAAGAACCUGAAACCGUGUACGUACAAGCAGUGGGAGCACGCUUAGGCGUGUGACUGCGUACCUUUUGUAUAAUGGGUCAGCGACUUAUAUUCUGUAGCAAGGUUAACCGAAUAGGGGAGCCGAAGGGAAACCGAGUCUUAACUGGGCGUUAAGUUGCAGGGUAUAGACCCGAAACCCGGUGAUCUAGCCAUGGGCAGGUUGAAGGUUGGGUAACACUAACUGGAGGACCGAACCGACUAAUGUUGAAAAAUUAGCGGAUGACUUGUGGCUGGGGGUGAAAGGCCAAUCAAACCGGGAGAUAGCUGGUUCUCCCCGAAAGCUAUUUAGGUAGCGCCUCGUGAAUUCAUCUCCGGGGGUAGAGCACUGUUUCGGCAAGGGGGUCAUCCCGACUUACCAACCCGAUGCAAACUGCGAAUACCGGAGAAUGUUAUCACGGGAGACACACGGCGGGUGCUAACGUCCGUCGUGAAGAGGGAAACAACCCAGACCGCCAGCUAAGGUCCCAAAGUCAUGGUUAAGUGGGAAACGAUGUGGGAAGGCCCAGACAGCCAGGAUGUUGGCUUAGAAGCAGCCAUCAUUUAAAGAAAGCGUAAUAGCUCACUGGUCGAGUCGGCCUGCGCGGAAGAUGUAACGGGGCUAAACCAUGCACCGAAGCUGCGGCAGCGACGCUUAUGCGUUGUUGGGUAGGGGAGCGUUCUGUAAGCCUGUGAAGGUGUCCUGUGAGGCAUGCUGGAGGUAUCAGAAGUGCGAAUGCUGACAUAAGUAACGAUAAAGCGGGUGAAAAGCCCGCUCGCCGGAAGACCAAGGGUUCCUGUCCAACGUUAAUCGGGGCAGGGUGAGUCGACCCCUAAGGCGAGGCCGAAAGGCGUAGUCGAUGGGAAACAGGUUAAUAUUCCUGUACUUGGUGUUACUGCGAAGGGGGGACGGAGAAGGCUAUGUUGGCCGGGCGACGGUUGUCCCGGUUUAAGCGUGUAGGCUGGUUUUCCAGGCAAAUCCGGAAAAUCAAGGCUGAGGCGUGAUGACGAGGCACUACGGUGCUGAAGCAACAAAUGCCCUGCUUCCAGGAAAAGCCUCUAAGCAUCAGGUAACAUCAAAUCGUACCCCAAACCGACACAGGUGGUCAGGUAGAGAAUACCAAGGCGCUUGAGAGAACUCGGGUGAAGGAACUAGGCAAAAUGGUGCCGUAACUUCGGGAGAAGGCACGCUGAUAUGUAGGUGAAGCGACUUGCUCGUGGAGCUGAAAUCAGUCGAAGAUACCAGCUGGCUGCAACUGUUUAUUAAAAACACAGCACUGUGCAAACACGAAAGUGGACGUAUACGGUGUGACGCCUGCCCGGUGCCGGAAGGUUAAUUGAUGGGGUCAGCGCAAGCGAAGCUCUUGAUCGAAGCCCCGGUAAACGGCGGCCGUAACUAUAACGGUCCUAAGGUAGCGAAAUUCCUUGUCGGGUAAGUUCCGACCUGCACGAAUGGCGUAAUGAUGGCCAGGCUGUCUCCACCCGAGACUCAGUGAAAUUGAACUCGCUGUGAAGAUGCAGUGUACCCGCGGCAAGACGGAAAGACCCCGUGAACCUUUACUAUAGCUUGACACUGAACAUUGAGCCUUGAUGUGUAGGAUAGGUGGGAGGCUUUGAAGUGUGGACGCCAGUCUGCAUGGAGCCGACCUUGAAAUACCACCCUUUAAUGUUUGAUGUUCUAACGUUGACCC
RNAcentral lists this ribosomal RNA (2206 nucleotides) under Escherichia coli UMEA 3052-1. RNAcentral describes it as "bacterial LSU rRNA". It matches the Rfam family "Bacterial large subunit ribosomal RNA", at positions 1 to 2234 of the family's 2925-position model. Lineage: Bacteria; Pseudomonadati; Pseudomonadota; Gammaproteobacteria; Enterobacterales; Enterobacteriaceae. The record is from RNAcentral.